Molecule: long non-coding RNA, 2147 nt
Organism: Cavia porcellus (domestic guinea pig)
Lineage: Eukaryota; Metazoa; Chordata; Mammalia; Rodentia; Caviidae
Exons: 2
Source: RefSeq, a predicted model, not a curated record
UGAACUUGUACUCUGUGGUUCUCGCCAGUUUCUGAAGCUGUUCUUCUUUCCUAUUUUUAUAAGGUGUGACCAGAAACGUAGUGAAUGCCUCUGCCAAGCGCUUGCCGAAGGAAAAGGAGCUUUUAGAAAUGUUAUAGCGUGUCUUCACCCAGCCUGCUGAUCAGAUCUGGCAUUCCACAUCUUCUGGUUCUUCCCCAAAGUCAAAAUGACCUGGAAAGGUAAAAUUUGGGAUUGACUUGGGACACCGAGGCAGCCACAGCAGUGCAACAAAAGACCCCACGAGAGAGGACUUCCAGAGCUGCUUUGGAAAGGGCCGGGGACGACUGAACCUGUGCUCGAAGCAAGCAGAGAUGUUUCGAGGAGCAUUCCUGGCAAUGUGUCUUUUACUAUAAACAUUUUUCAAUUUAAAUUUUCUUCUGCACUUUUCAAUCGCACUGCAUUAACUUUUAUCUGCAUUAAUUGCUGUGCUCUUUUAUGCUGAAAUGCUAUCUGACUUAUCACGCUUUUGUGAGUAACAUGGCGUCUGACAAAUACUGUUGAAUAAAUGAAUGAACGAAUCAACGGAUGAUUGUUCUGCAGCGUGCAGGUUACGUUUCAUUUUAAACUCCUCACUCUGGGUUCGUUCUCUGGCUUUCUGUAAUACUGUCUGGUGUUCUGCAGAGAUGGGGAAGCAUUCAUCUCUUUGCCCGCCACAGGGAAAUCAGAUUUGUCAUCUUCUUUAUUUGAUGCUCCAAGAAACUCUCCAACAUUUUGCUUUGAUGUAUCCAUUUAAGGUGCUUUCGCUCUCUCCAGGUACCUUGAGUCAUUCUUUGCCUUGCUUCUGCGUCUGCUUCAAAAAUCGGUCCGAGUUAUGCUGCUACCUGGUCUUUGGGACUUGCGUACCACAGGUCAGGAUUGAUUUGCCGCAUUCGAGUAUUUGCAUUUUGGAUUCAUCCUUGGAUGUUGCUUUGUUUUCUUUCGUGGUGAGGUCCCCUUUAAUGCAGGUAGGAUUAGCAUCUUCAAACACAUACAUCUGAAUCCUCCCGAGGCACCUCUGAUCCUCUAGUCGAACGUUUCUGCACUGAGGUACAGUUGCCUUUCAUGUGGGGAGAUUUGUUGGACGAGAAAGCUGCAUGUGUGAUAGUUAACCAUGGUGUCCACAUGAAGAAGGAAUGCCUGACACAUUGGUUUGGUGCAGUGCUGGACGUGUCUGGAUUGAUGAAUUUACUCAAAAUGCGAGCCCCUCCUCAGGUGUGAAGGGCUCCAGCCAAUGGGCUUGCAGCCUGGCUGUAACAACAGGGAAAGGAGGAGGGAGUCUCAUGUCUGCUUCUCCAGGGAACCUCCAGUCUGCACUGUCGCCUUGGAACAUCUAUCCACAGGCUCACACCAAUGCUUCAUCCCUCCAGUUCAGGCUCUUUGGCUUCUUGACACUGACUCUCACAAAACCCUGCAGCGAACUUCACAUCGGCAAUUUUUGACUGGAUCCUCCGCUUCUCUAGAGAUGUUUUGAGCUCUUUCACACCUGACUUUGCAGGCAGCCAUUGUAAGCCUACCUUGUCAAUCCUCUAUCUAUCUAUAUAAAUAUCUAUGUAUAUCUUUUCUAAAUAUAUACAUAUAAAUAUAUAUAACUUUGUUAUACUAAAAUGCUGAAAAAUUAAAAUAGUUGAUUAAAAGAUAAUUAGCAAAAAUAGUUAAAAGGAUAGUUAUUAGCAGUACUGUCAUUCUAUACUGAGCUCGUUACCCAAGUAAGCAAGCACCAACCACGUAGUUAUAGAUUAACUGACUGCGUCAUCAUGCUAUUCUGUAUGCAUCAUUCCCCUCCACUCCAGUAACUUGUUGGCUGUAUCAACCUUUGUUCCACUUUUAAGAGACAAAUGAUGCUGUGUCAACCAUCGUUCCCUUUAUGAGAGACAAAUGUUCCUGGAAUUGGCAGACCGAGGGCUAUGAAUUGGCUAACCACCCACUGUGAAAUGCCUCUGACCUCAAGCAAAGGGGAACAAAGGCCCACCUUGUUUCUGUUUCUCAUCACUAUGUACUUAAUGAUCAAUGAGCUAAUUAUAAAUGAACUAUAAAAGUCAGUCAAAAUUCUAACUCAAUCACACAGCUUUGCAAAUUCCAUCUGCUCUGUGUCACUGGGCCAGCUAAAAUAAAAGCGCUUGUUCUUAAAA